This 393-nucleotide ribosomal RNA is filed under the name uncultured bacterium. RNAcentral describes it as "partial 16S ribosomal RNA". It matches the Rfam family "Bacterial small subunit ribosomal RNA", at positions 523 to 918 of the family's 1533-position model. The record is from RNAcentral.
CUACGGAGGAUGCGAGCGUUAUCCGGAUUUAUUGGGUUUAAAGGGUGCGUAGGCGGACGAUUAAGUCAGCUGUGAAAUGCCCGCGCUUAACGCGGGAAGUGCAGUUGAUACUGGUUGUCUGGAGUGCCGUUGCCGUGGGGGGAAUGUGUAGUGUAGCGGUGAAAUGCAUAGAUAUUACACAGAACGCCGAUUGUGAAGACACCUCACGAAGGGGUAAAAGACGAUGAGGCACUAAAGCGUGGGGGUCGAACAGGAUAAGCAGCACGGGAGGUGACAGCAGGAAACGAUGAAGGUAAAACUUGGUAUAAAGACCGCCGGUGGCCUAGCGAAAGCGAUUAGUCAUCCACCUGGGGAGUUAGAACGCAAGGUUGAAGCUUAAAGGAAUUGACGGGG